Molecule: ribosomal RNA, 253 nt
Filed under: uncultured bacterium
Lineage: Bacteria
Description: partial 16S ribosomal RNA
Rfam family: Bacterial small subunit ribosomal RNA
Source: RNAcentral
UACGUAGGGUGCGAGCGUUCAUCGGAAUUACUGGGCGUAAAGGGUGCGCAGGUGGUUGUGCAAGCUUGAUGUGAAAUCCCCGGGCUUAACCUGGGAAUGGCAUUGAGGACUGCACGGCUAGAGUGUAGCAGAGGGGGGUGGAAUUCCGCGUGUAGCAGUGAAAUGCGUAGAGAUGCGGAGGAACACCGAUGGCGAAGGCAGCCCCCUGGGUUAACACUGACACUCAUGCACGAAAGCGUGGGGAGCAACCAGG